Lemur catta (Ring-tailed lemur) is the source of this 605-nucleotide long non-coding RNA. RefSeq lists it as uncharacterized. The record is from RefSeq and is a predicted model, not a curated record. NCBI's taxonomy places the organism in Eukaryota, Metazoa, Chordata, Mammalia, Primates, Lemuridae. The transcript is spliced from 2 exons.
UCCCCAUUGUGCGCCUAGACCAGUGCUGUCCCCCAGGGGACACACAACUGAGUAUCCAGGGUUCCUUUGAAAGGAACAAAAGUCAGGGACCAGUAGCCUAAGGAGUUAUGGAGAAUAGAGUGGCAGUGAUAAUGCACCAAUUGGCUUCAGAGGCCACCCCACACUCCAGCAGUAACCUGGGUCCUGCACCACCCCUGCCGGGCAGCCCCUGGUUCUCGGUGGGGUUAAGGGGACAGGAAAUGUGGCUGGUGACUGUUGGGCUUCACAGGAAGGAGGACCCUGUGGGCAACGGGCUCAGGACCAAGACCACAUGUUGGCCAAGGAACAGGGACAGCCACACACCCAGAACAUCUUCCCCACGUGCUCAGUGAUCCAUCACCUGCUGGGAAGCGGAGCCCAAGGGCCCAUGACAGAGGAGGCCAUUCCUCCAACCUUGCUCCACCAGUGACUUGCUGCGUAAAUUUGGUCAAGUGGCUCUUUGUGAAUCAGGUUCUAGAAUUUUAUAGGCUCUUGGAAAUACUUUUUUAAUCCUAUCACAAUAUAUUUUCACUGAGGAGAACACAAACAGGCAAAAAUAAAAAUAAAUUGAAAUUACAAUCAAGUGA